CCUUCCCCAAUAUACAAUUCAGGAUUAGGUGCACCCUUUCAGUUCCAGGCUUCAAGCAGGAAACAGUAGAAAACUAACUAUCCUGUAAUCUACAAAGUGCAAAUAACUAACCUAAUCCUCUUUCUCUCCAACAACAAUGCUAGGCUUAGGAUUAGGAACUCUCUCACAGCCAUUAGCGCCGCAAUUAGUUCUAAAGAAGCUUCCUUUUUUACCAUAUUCAUUCCCCAAUUCUUCUUCAUUAUCAUUAUCAUCAUGGGGUCCAACUGGGUUUCCCUUAUUUGCUCAAAAAAGUGAAAAGAUUUCAACUUUUGAUGAAGUAAUAAUGGAAAAAGGUGAAGAUUUUGAAGAUGUAGAAGAUGAAUAUGAGUUUGAUGAUGAUGAGUAUGAUUUUGAUGAGGAGGAGGAGGAGGAUUUCGAUGAUGAUGAGGAGGAGGAGGAGGAGGAGGAGGAUGAAUUGAUGGUUCCAUUUCAUUUGAUGAAUGCUUGGCUUGAGAAAAGACCAAAGGGGUUUGGUGAAGGGAAAGUUUAUGAUACUUCACUUGAAGAUAAAUUAUUGGAAGAGAUUGAGCAAAGUUUAAAAGCUCAAAUUGCUAAUGUUAAUAAGCUUAAGAAAGAAGGGAAAAUGCUUAAUUCCAAGAAUAAGAUGCAGGAGGAGUUGUUUAAAGCUUCGGAAGGUGUUCCGAGUGGGAUUCGUGUUCGUAUUAACAACCUUCCGAAGAAGAAGAAUAUCUACAGAGAUUUAAAGUCGGCCUUUAAAGGAGUACCCGGAAUGAUCAACAUAUCACCUGUGAAUUCCGGGAACAAGAAAACAAGGGAUCCUGUCUGCAAAGGCCUUGCUUUUGUCGAUUUCAUGUCCGUUAAGGAUGCAAACAGCUUUGUUCAGAUGUUCUCGGGCCAAAGUAUUGCCUUUGGCAAGACCGAGAAGCUGAUAAAGUGUGAAAUUCUAAAGCCGGUUGAUCCUAGUUUCGAAGGAUUACCUUAUGAUGGGUACAGCAGUGGUUCUGAGGCAACUUAUACUUUCUUAGAGGAGGAUGAAGACGAAGAUGAAGGUGAAGACGAUGACAAUGAUCAAAAUGAUACAUACUUAAACUCUGAAAAUCUUACCCUCGAGAAACAUGUAAAACACAUGGAAACGAUAGAAGCAAAAGUGGUUGCUAGAGCUUCGUCGUAUGAAGAGGAGACGAAGGCGGUUAAAAAGAUGCCAAAGCUCACAAAUCAGACGGAGGUUACACAUAAGCCAGAUAGGAAGCCAAGCCAGAAGACCAAUAAGAAACAGAACCUUAAGUCAGAUACAAAGCCAAAGCCUAUAAUACCGGGAUCUGCAAAGAAGUUGAAAGUCAAGGAGAAGGCUAAACUUGCAGAAGUUUUCUCUAGAUAUGGAACGAGAGAAGCCAAGGCCUCUAAAUAAACAUAAUUUUUUCGAUUUUGUGGACGAGAGAAGUCUUCUCCUAUAUUUCAGGACUACAUGAAAAACGGAAAGAGUAUGCUGCUUGACUGCAGAAGGAAAACAUAUGUGCUCUGUGGCCUGUGUAAGGAAGAGCUGCUGAAUGCUGAUACAUUUUUGGCCUGUUAGCUACAACUACAAGCAAAAAACAGAAUCCCAUUACUUUGACUCAACAUCUCUGAACCAGAAAUGGAAUUGGGAAUAGCAUUAUCUGUUGUGCAAACUCUCUUUGCUGCUCUGCAAUGUCCAAUGCUCAAAAAAAUCCCUUCCAUAUGGGGGCACAAAACUAAACUUGAUGAUCUCCAACGCACAGUCGCCACAAUCAAGGCCAUGUUAAGUGAAGCAGAGACCAAACAAGACUUCUCCGAUCAAGUGAAACUCUGGAUCGAGGAGCUCAAGGAUGCGGUUUAUGAUGCUGACGAUCUGUUCGAUGAGUUACUGACUAUCACUAAGCUGAAGCAGCUCAACGAAGAUGGGAAAACCUUCAAAAAGGUGCGGGAUUUCUUCUCUAGAUCUAAUCCUCUCAUUGCUGCUAACAAUGUGUCUCGACGCGUUGAGGAGAUCAGGGAGAGUUUGGAUGCUAUUGCUAGCAAUCACAACAAUUUUGGCUUUAAGGUUGAGUCUAAACAAAACAAGAGGAGAAGGGACGAGACUUGUUCUUAUGUAUACGAGGGUUAUACCGUUGGGAGAGAUGAUGAUGUCGAGAAAAUUGUUGGUUCUUUAAUAGAUCCUUGCAUUCCGAGUGAUGUAUCUUUCCUUACUAUCGUAGGGAUUGGAGGGUUAGGAAAAACUGCACUCGCUCAACUUGUGUAUAAUUGCAAGAGUUGCAAGUGUAUUUUCAUUAAGAUUGUGAGCU
This is an RNA transcript of Amaranthus tricolor (Joseph's coat), 2300 nucleotides long. RefSeq lists it as uncharacterized. Lineage: Eukaryota; Viridiplantae; Streptophyta; Magnoliopsida; Caryophyllales; Amaranthaceae. The record is from RefSeq and is a predicted model, not a curated record. The transcript has 6 exons.